UGGAGGCAGGCCUAACACAUGCAAGUCGAGCGGUAACAGUUUCUAGCUUGCUAGAAGAUGGCGAGCGGCGGACGGGUGAGUAACGCGUAGAAAUCUACCUAGUAGUGGGGGAUAGCCCAGAGAAAUUUGGAUUAAUACCGCAUACGCCCUACGGGGGAAAGCGGGGGAUCUUCGGACCUCGUGCUAUUAGAUGAGUCUGCGUCGGAUUAGCUUGUUGGUGAGGUAAUGGCUCACCAAGGCGACGAUCCGUAGCUGGUCUGAGAGGAUGACCAGCCACACUGGAACUGAGACACGGUCCAGACUCCUACGGGAGGCAGCAGUGGGGAAUAUUGCACAAUGGGCGCAAGCCUGAUGCAGCCAUGCCGCGUGUGUGAAGAAGGCCUUAGGGUUGUAAAGCACUUUCAGCAGUGAGGAAAGGGGUGUCGUUAAUAGCGCCAUCCUGUGACGUUAACUGCAGAAGAAGGACCGGCUAACUCCGUG
This 480-nucleotide ribosomal RNA is filed under the name uncultured bacterium. RNAcentral describes it as "bacterial SSU rRNA". It matches the Rfam family "Bacterial small subunit ribosomal RNA", at positions 37 to 507 of the family's 1533-position model. The record is from RNAcentral.